UACGGAAGGCAGCAGUGGGGAAUAUUGCACAAUGGGCGCAAGCCUGAUGCAGCCAUGCCGCGUGUAUGAAAAAGGCCUUCGGGUUGUAAAGUACUUUCAGUCGUGAGGAAGGUGUUAAGGUUAAUAACCUUAGCAAUUGACGUUAGCGACAGAAGAAGCACCGGCUAACUCCGUGCCAGCAGCCGCGGUAAUACGGAGGGUGCGAGCGUUAAUCGGAAUUACUGGGCGUAAAGGGCACGCAGGCGGUUAAUUAAGUUGGAUGUGAAAUCCCCGGGCUUAACCUGGGAAUGGCAUUCAAGACUGGUUAGCUAGAGUCUUGUAGAGGGGGUAGAAUUCCAUGUGUAGCGGUGAAAUGCGUAGAGAUGUGGAGGAAUACCGGUGGCGAAGGCGGCCCCUGGACAAAGACUGACGCUCAUGUGCGAAAGCGUGGGGAGCAAACGAGGGAUUUAGAUACCCGU
RNAcentral lists this ribosomal RNA (458 nucleotides) under uncultured bacterium. Its description in RNAcentral is "bacterial SSU rRNA". It matches the Rfam family "Bacterial small subunit ribosomal RNA", at positions 340 to 790 of the family's 1533-position model. The record is from RNAcentral.